Molecule: ribosomal RNA, 548 nt
Filed under: uncultured Glomeromycotina
Lineage: Eukaryota; Fungi; Glomeromycota
Description: SSU rRNA
Rfam family: Eukaryotic small subunit ribosomal RNA
Source: RNAcentral
UUGGAGGGCAAGUCUGGCGCCAGCAGCCGCGGUAAUUCCAGCUCCAAUAGCGUAUAUUAAAGUUGUUGCAGUUAAAAAGCUCGUAGUUGAAUUUCGGGGUUAGUAGGUUGGUCGUGCCUCAGGUAUGUACUGAUCUCACUGAUUCCUCCUUCCUGAUGAACCGUAAUGCCAUUAAUUUGGUGUUGCGGGGAAACUGGACUGUUACUUUGAAAAAAUUAGAGUGUUUAAAGCAGGCUAACGCUUGAAUACAUUAGCAUGGAAUAAUGAAAUAGGACGUUCGAUCCUAUUUUGUUGGUUUCUAGGAUUGACGUAAUGAUUAAUAGGGAUAGUUGGGGGCAUUAGUAUUCAAUUGUCAGAGGUGAAAUUCUUGGAUUUAUUGAAGACUAACUACUGCGAAAGCAUUUGCCAAGGAUGUUUUCAUUAAUCAAGAACGAAAGUUAGGGGAUCGAAGACGAUCAGAUACCGUCGUAGUCUUAACCAUAAACUAUGCCGACUAGGGAUCGGAUGAUGUUAAUUUUUUAAUGACUCAUUCGGCGCCUUACGGGAAA